UCAGGACGAACGCUGGCGGCAUGCCUAAUACAUGCAAGUCGAGCGGGCACUGUAGGGUGCCAGCGGCGAACGGGUGAGUAACACGUAAGUAACCUACCCAUUGGACGAGGAUAACUACUGGAAACGGUAGCUAAUACUGGAUAGGUACUGCAACCGGAGGGGUGCAGUAUGAAAGGCCCAUGAAGGGCCGCCAAUGGAUGGGCUUGCGUCGCAUUAGCUAGUUGGUGAGGUAAGGGCUCACCAAGGCGAUGAUGCGUAGCCGACCUGAGAGGGUGACCGGCCACACUGGGACUGAGAGACGGCCCAGACUCCUACGGGAGGCAGCAGUAGGGAAUCUUCGGCAAUGGACGGAAGUCUGACCGAGCGAUGCCGCGUGAGCGAAGAAGGUCUUCGGAUCGUAAAGCUCUGUUAUGAGGGAAGAAGGACGUAGGCAGGCAAUGGCCUACGGGUGACGGUACCUCAUGAGGAAGCCACGGCUAACUACGUGCCAGCAGCCGCGGUAAUACGUAGGUGGCGAGCGUUGUCCGGAAUUAUUGGGCGUAAAGGGUGCGUAGGCGGUCCGUUAAGUCUAGUUUGAAAGACCACGGCUUAACCGUGGGAGGGGAUUAGAAACUGGCGGACUUGAGGGUAAGAGAGGAAGGUGGAAUUCCACGUGUNNNGGUGAAAUGCGUAGAGAUGUGGAGGAACACCAGUGGCGAAGGCGGCCUUCUGGCUUACCCCUGACGCUGAGGCACGAAAGCGUGGGGAGCAAACAGGAUUAAAUACCCUGGUAGUCCCACGCCGUUAAACGAUGAGUACUAAGUGUCGGUCGCAAGAUCGGUGCUGAAGUUAACGCAAUAAGUACUCCGCCUGGGAAGUACGGUCGCAAGACUGAAACUCAAAGGAAUUGACGGGGACCCGCACAAGCGGUGGAGCAUGUGGUUUAAUUCGAAGCAACGCGAAGAACCUUACCAGGCCUUGACAUCCCUCCGCCAUCGCUAGAGAUAGUGAGUUCCCUUUUGGGGACGGAGGAGACAGGUGGUGCAUGGUUGUCGUCAGCUCGUGUCGUGAGAUGUUGGGUUAAGUCCCGCAACGAGCGCAACCCUCGUCGUUAGUUGCCAGCAUUAAGUUGGGGACUCUAACGAGACUGCCAGUGACAAACUGGAGGAAGGUGGGGAUGACGUCAAAUCAUCAUGCCCCUUAUGGCCUGGGCUACACACGUGCUACAAUGGGUGGUACAAAGGGAGGCGAAGCCGCGAGGCGGAGCGAAACCCAAAAAGCCACUCUCAGUUCGGAUUGCAGGCUGCAACUCGCCUGCAUGAAGCCGGAAUCGCUAGUAAUCGCGAAUCAGCAUGUCGCGGUGAAUACGUUCCCGGGUCUUGUACACACCGCCCGUCACACCACGAGAGUCUGUAACACCCGAAGCCGGUGGCCUAACCGCAAGGAGGGAGCCGUCGAAGGUGGGACAGAUGAUUG
This 1455-nucleotide ribosomal RNA is filed under the name uncultured bacterium. RNAcentral's name for it is "bacterial SSU rRNA". It matches the Rfam family "Bacterial small subunit ribosomal RNA". The record is from RNAcentral.